UUAAUUGAAGAGUUUGAUCAUGGCUCAGAUUGAACGCUGGCGGCAGGCCUAACACAUGCAAGUCGAGCGGCAGCACAAGGGAGUUUACUUCUGAGGUGGCGAGCGGCGGACGGGUGAGUAAUGCCUAGGGAUCUGCCCAGUCGAGGGGGAUAACAGUUGGAAACGACUGCUAAUACCGCAUACGCCCUACGGGGGAAAGAGGGGGACCUUCGGGCCUCUCGCGAUUGGAUGAACCUAGGUGGGAUUAGCUAGUUGGUGAGGUAAUGGCUCACCAAGGCGACGAUCCCUAGCUGUUCUGAGAGGAUGAUCAGCCACACUG
RNAcentral lists this ribosomal RNA (319 nucleotides) under Shewanella xiamenensis. Its description in RNAcentral is "bacterial SSU rRNA". It matches the Rfam family "Bacterial small subunit ribosomal RNA", at positions 1 to 315 of the family's 1533-position model. The record is from RNAcentral. Lineage: Bacteria; Pseudomonadati; Pseudomonadota; Gammaproteobacteria; Alteromonadales; Shewanellaceae.